Molecule: ribosomal RNA, 207 nt
Filed under: uncultured bacterium
Lineage: Bacteria
Description: partial 16S ribosomal RNA
Rfam family: Bacterial small subunit ribosomal RNA
Source: RNAcentral
CGUGUAGGCGGGUUUACAAGUCAGAUGUAAAAGGCUACGGCUCAACUGUAGAUAGUCAUCUGAAACUGUAGAUCUUGAGUUCGAGAGAGGGUAGUGGAAUUCCUGGUGUAGCGGUGAAAUGCGUAGAUAUCAGGAAGAACACCAGAUGCGAAGGCGGCUACCUGGCUCGUAACUGACGCUGAGGCGCGAAAGCGUGGGUAGCGAACA